Molecule: ribosomal RNA, 264 nt
Filed under: uncultured archaeon
Lineage: Archaea
Description: partial 16S ribosomal RNA
Rfam family: Archaeal small subunit ribosomal RNA
Source: RNAcentral
ACACGACUACAUUAGAUACCCGUGUAGUCCAGGGUGUAAACGCUGCGGGCUUGGUGUUGGGGGUCCUUAGUGGACGCCCAGUGCCGGAGAGAAGUUGUUAAGCCUGCUGCUUGGGGAGUAUGUCCGCAAGGAUGAAACUUAAAGGAAUUGGCGGGGGAGCACCGCAACGGGAGGAGCGUGCGGUUCAAUUGGAUUCAACACCGUAAACUCACCAGGGAAGACUGUUACAUGAAAGCCGAGAUGAAGACUCUGCUAGAUUUUCAG